This 316-nucleotide long non-coding RNA is filed under the name Mustela putorius furo (domestic ferret). RNAcentral describes it as "lncRNA (ENSMPUG00000027767.1)". The record is from RNAcentral. Lineage: Eukaryota; Metazoa; Chordata; Mammalia; Carnivora; Mustelidae.
GCCGCAUGAUGCUGGGUGCCUCAGAAGCAGGAGCUCCACUGAUGUAUGUUCAUGGCCCUAUGAUGUGGGGCAUCUCCGGAUUUGCUGAAGAUCAUGCCUCAAGUCAGCUUGCUCCUGCCUUCAGGACCAUAAUGGCAGCUGCUGGUGUUCCCUCCUGCCCCUGAAAUGUUGCUAGUGGAGCCUCACAUAGAACCAGCAAAAGUGGGGGAUGGAGCGAUAGCUACGCACUGACUAUGAAAAGCAUUCAGGAAAAUGCUGUUACUUUUAUUGCAUAGCAAGUGUAAUAGGCAUGUAAAUAAAAAUAUUUUAUCCCGCA